UCUUAAUUGUUAGUUAUAGUGCGUCAAGCAAAUCUUGUCAGUAGCAAUGUAAAGCAAACUAAAGUAGGGCAACACUCAAAGAGUAGUAUUGCGCUAAGAAAAGCAGCAAUGUACAAUGUACAUCGAACCAACUUUUUUUUUCCGCUGAGCGCGCCCGUCAAUUCAAAUUGUCACUCGCGGAUUCUCUAUUGAAAAUGUUUGAAAUUGUUAUUAAUAGGUAUGGACGGACAAUUUAAAAGCGGUGUGUGAUGUUGAUAAAAAUGAUUAACUAAUUUGAAGAUCUCAAAAUAAAAUUAGAAGUGGACUAUGCCGUCACAAAUAAAAUCAUUGCUUCAGCAGGUAGAUGUCCUACUGGAUUUUAAUAUUUUAUUAGAUUUCUCAGUUGGCACUGUAGGCAUCUUAGCGUUGAUUAAGCACAAUCUUAUUUAAUAUAUUGGUAUUUAAUGGUGACACAGCAGAAAUAUCUCUUGAAUUAAAAUCGAUUCAGAAUGUAAACAAAGAUGAUGGCUGUCAUUCGCGAUCCACAUUCCACAGAUAAAACACAGAUGACACGCGAUUUUCGAAUUAUUCGAACACAGUGUUGCUAACCCGCGAUUUUUCAAAUUUGCCGCCGUUUGCUACUGACAAGAUUUGCUUGACCCAGUAUAAC
Molecule: long non-coding RNA, 649 nt
Organism: Cydia splendana
Lineage: Eukaryota; Metazoa; Arthropoda; Insecta; Lepidoptera; Tortricidae
Exons: 2
Source: RefSeq, a predicted model, not a curated record